Arvicanthis niloticus (Nile rat) is the source of this 476-nucleotide non-coding RNA. The record is from RefSeq and is a predicted model, not a curated record. Lineage: Eukaryota; Metazoa; Chordata; Mammalia; Rodentia; Muridae.
ACAUGCCAGCUUCCUCAGGCUCCUGGUUCCAUAAUGUUCCACUGUGGUGAACUACCCAAUGGAAUUGACACAAGAACCUGGAGAUCUCAAGACUUUUCCUCCAGACUCCUGCCCAUUUCUACAGUGGUUAGAUGCAGGUCUGUUAUAAAUCCAUCUUCUAACAGUUUGAUGGAGACGACAAGGAGCUGGAGAACAUGGCAUUCCCACUGUGGCACUGCCAUAGGAAGACACAGAAAUCAAGCUUAAAGCAGCCUUGUCAACACAGACCAUACCAGCUGAUGCCAAAUAAUUUAGAGGAUAAGAACAUUAAUGCUUCCUGGUUAUUAGGCACCCUUCUGUUGGUAUCAUAUGCCUUACAGAUGGCAGCACUUAGACAUUAUUUACAGGAACUAGGGAACCAAUAGCAGAAACUAAACAUGUUUGAGAAGUUCUGUUGUACGUGACUGUUAUAAAUAAAACUUUUGAAGACUCCGGUU